AAUUGACAUUUCGUGCAAAUGUUCUGAAAGAAGCAAAGGAAACGAUAAAAUUGGCCGGAGGAGAGGGAAAGACGUCGAUUGGCGUCCAUGUCAGAAGAGGAGAUUUCAAAAUAUACCUGCCAAGAAAGUCAAAUGCAUCUUUAACUAAUGAGACUUAUUUUAAGAAUGCCAUGGAUUGGUACCGUCAGAGAAUAGCUGGGGAUGUUAUUUUCCUGGUCGUGAGUGAUGACUAUUUAUGGUGCGAGAAAAAUUUUGCACACAUUAAGGACGUGAAAAUCGUGAGAAAGAGUCCGGCCCAUGACUUGGCCCUCUUGACUCUGUGCAACCACAUUAUUAUCGACUAUGGAACCUAUGGCUUUUGGGCCUGGUUUCUCUCUAAGGGACACACAGUUUCUUUAAAUGCGGAGAGGAGGUGGAGAGAUGUAUGGAGGGCUGCGGAGAUGAAUUGGACCAUUUUUGACAAAGACACUUUGCAACAAAUCACUGUUUAAGAUACUUGCCUGAAUGAAAACUGCCACAAGAUAAAAAAGAAUAAACAACGGGUGUAAACUUGUUCCGUGUUGCUCAGCGAAACUGAUUGUGUAGGUGAAAAUCAAGUGGCCGGGAACAACCAAAAUCAUCAGUGAUCUUGCCGUUGUGGAAAGUUG
Molecule: long non-coding RNA, 647 nt
Organism: Cloeon dipterum
Lineage: Eukaryota; Metazoa; Arthropoda; Insecta; Ephemeroptera; Baetidae
Exons: 3
Source: RefSeq, a predicted model, not a curated record